Molecule: long non-coding RNA, 665 nt
Organism: Melospiza melodia melodia
Lineage: Eukaryota; Metazoa; Chordata; Aves; Passeriformes; Passerellidae
Exons: 3
Source: RefSeq, a predicted model, not a curated record
ACUGCUGGUGCAGAAGAACAAAGCUAUGUAUCUCAGUUGUUUAGGGUAGCAGGAGUGAUGAGCAAGCAAGCACACUCCCAUGCUUUCAGGAGGAAAUGCUGCAAAGAAAGGAGGGAGAAGAAGAGUGACUUUUUCCUUUAGAAAAUACUCACUGCUGCUUCAAGGUAGACCCUUCACCUCCUGGUGUCCCUAAGGAUCUCAGGUGGGACAGCUUCAUCACUGGUCCUGGUGCCUUCAUCAGUGCUGUAAUUUGCUGGGAUUCACCUCCAAAAAGAGAUCUAGGAAUCCAUCAUUACAAAAUCUGCAUAAGCUUACAGGAGCCAGAGCAGCUAGUAAAGAUCCCUGGGAAAUGACUAAUGCAGAUGCGCUGCCCCUGUACCAACCACUGUGUUUGCUGGUCUCUGGAGAGGUGCUGGGAGAGCACAACAGCCACUGGUGCAGAAAAACAAGAGAAGAGAAAGGAUUCAUCUGCCAGGAAGAGAUGCAGUCAUGACUCUGCUUGGUGUGAUAAACAGCAUGUGCUGCUCAGAGAUCUGGCUGUGCCCAGGCCAAAUUCCCCUGAUCUCUCUCCAGCUUGGAGAUCCUUCUGCUGUGGUUGAUGUCAACAAGUCUCAUUCUUUGUAUCACCUCCACUGCAAAUGAGAUCGAUGAGAGCAAAUUGUUUG